This 274-nucleotide ribosomal RNA is filed under the name uncultured bacterium. Its description in RNAcentral is "partial 16S ribosomal RNA". It matches the Rfam family "Bacterial small subunit ribosomal RNA", at positions 28 to 300 of the family's 1533-position model. The record is from RNAcentral.
GACGAACGCUGGCGGCGUGCUUAACACAUGCAAGUCGAGCGGUAAGGCCCUUUCGGGGGUACGACGAGCGGCGAACGGGUGAGUAACACGUGGGUGACCUGCCUUUAGUCUCUGGGAUAAGCCUGGGAAACUGGGUCUAAUACCGGAUAUGACCCUAUGGCGCAUGUUGUGGGGUGGGAAAGCCUUGUGCGGCUAGGGAUGGGCCCGCGGCCUAUCAGCUUGUUGGUGGGGUGAUGGCCUACCAAGGCGACGACGGGUAGCCGGCCUGAGAGGG